Molecule: ribosomal RNA, 253 nt
Filed under: uncultured prokaryote
Description: partial 16S ribosomal RNA
Rfam family: Bacterial small subunit ribosomal RNA
Source: RNAcentral
UACGAGGGGGGCAAGCGUUGUUCGGAAUUAUUGGGCGUAAAGGGCGCGUAGGCGGUGCGGUAAGUCACCUGUGAAAUCUCCGGGCUUAACUCGGAGCCUGCAGGCGAAACUGCCGUGCUUGAGUGUGGGAGAGGUGCGUGGAAUUCCCGGUGUAGCGGUGAAAUGCGUAGAGAUGUGGAGGAACACCAAUGGCGAAGGCAGCCCUCUGGGCCAACACUGACGCUCAUGCACGAAAGCGUGGGGAGCAAACAGG